Molecule: long non-coding RNA, 981 nt
Filed under: Gossypium barbadense (sea-island cotton)
Lineage: Eukaryota; Viridiplantae; Streptophyta; Magnoliopsida; Malvales; Malvaceae
Description: long non-coding RNA (GBAR_LNC019521)
Source: RNAcentral
GCCUCUAAACGGCGUCGUUUUACAAGCGUCAUAAAAGCCAGAGAAUUUGCUAUUUCAGAAUAAAAAAGAAAAGAAAAAGAUAAAAAAAAACCCUAAGGGUUUCAUUGCCUUCCCAAGCGCCGCUCUCCACCUCGACUCCGAUCAUACCAGAGGAGGACGCGAGCUUCGACGGCGCGGAUGUCAAGGUAAUAUCCCCUCCUUUCUUUGUGAUUUAUCUCAUGCAUAAGAACGCAAAAAAAUAAACGAUGAACCCACAAAAGAAAUUGAAAGUCGUCUCCGCUUCCUCUUUCUUUUUUUGUUACACAAGAUUCAUAAUAAAAAAAUAGAAAAGAAAAAAAACACAGAAAAAGAUGAAAAGAACACCUUCCAAACUCAGUUUUUUUGCUUUUUUCUCUAUUGAUCUCUAUGUGUUUUUUUUUACAAAAUGCCGAAAAAUGGCUUUAUAUCGCCAAAAAUAAAGUGAAAGUUACAAAAGAAAAUCUAUUUCGUUUCUUCUCAUUUUUUUUUGGUUAUUUUCUGCUAUUUUUUUUUUGUUCUUUCUAUUAGCUGGCCUCUUUGUUUUCUGCUUUGCUGUUCCUUUGUUGCAGGUACACGCUUGGAUGGGGACGUGGAGAGGACGCGUGGUGGUAUGGCUCAGCUGCGUACGGAGGCUGGUCACGCGCGGAAGGCUUGGUACGUGGCUAGCGGUGGCUGAGGCAGAUAGUUAUUUUAGGGUUUUGUUUUGAAAAUGUUUUAGGGCUAGGUAUGUGGGUCAAUGAUUUGGGCCUUAUUGGGUAUUAGAAAAUUCGGGUUUGGGCUAUUUUGUAGUUGGGUUUUAGGUUUAAUUUUUUUGGUAGGUAAUUAGGUGGUGUAUUGGGUGAGGUUAAGUGGAUAUUUGGAUUUUAUAUUUUGAUUUAGUUUAUUUAUUUAUAAUUUUGGGCCCGGCAAAUUUGGGCCAUUACAUUGACAAAUGUCAAUGUGAGGCUUAGCCUUGAAACUAAC